GACGAGCGCUGGCGGCGUGCUUAACACAUGCAAGUCGAACGAUGAAGCCCAGCUUGCUGGGUGGAUUAGUGGCGAACGGGUGAGUAACACGUGAGUAACCUGCCCUUGACUCUGGGAUAAGCGCUGGAAACGGCGUCUAAUACCGGAUACGACCUGCCCCGGCAUCGGGUGCGGGUGGAAAGUUUUUCGGUCAAGGACGGACUCGCGGCCUAUCAGCUAGUUGGUGAGGCAAUGGCUCACCAAGGCGACGACGGGUAGCCGGCCUGAGAGGGUGACCGGCCACACUGGGACUGAGACACGGCCCAGACUCCUACGGGAGGCAGCAGUGGGGAAUAUUGCACAAUGGGCGAAAGCCUGAUGCAGCAACGCCGCGUGGGGGAUGACGGCCUUCGGGUUGUAAACCUCUUUUAGUAGGGAAGAAGGGCUUCGGCUUGACGGUACCUGCAGAAAAAGCACCGGCUAACUACGUGCCAGCAGCCGCGGUAAUACGUAGGGUGCAAGCGUUGUCCGGAAUUAUUGGGCGUAAAGAGCUCGUAGGCGGUUUGUCGCGUCUGCUGUGAAAACCCGAGGCUCAACCUCGGGCCUGCAGUGGGUACGGGCAGACUAGAGUGCGGUAGGGGAGAAUGGAAUUCCUGGUGUAGCGGUGGAAUGCGCAGAUAUCAGGAGGAACACCGAUGGCGAAGGCAGUUCUCUGGGCCGUUACUGACGCUGAGGAGCGAAAGCGUGGGGAGCGAACAGGAUUAGAUACCCUGGUAGUCCACGCCGUAAACGUUGGGAACUAGAUGUGGGGACCUUUCCACGGUCUCCGUGUCGCAGCUAACGCAUUAAGUUCCCCGCCUGGGGAGUACGGCCGCAAGGCUAAAACUCAAAGGAAUUGACGGGGGCCCGCACAAGCGGCGGAGCAUGCGGAUUAAUUCGAUGCAACGCGAAGAACCUUACCAAGGCUUGACAUAUACCGGAAACUUCCAGAAAUGGUUGCCCCGCAAGGUCGGUAUACAGGUGGUGCAUGGUUGUCGUCAGCUCGUGUCGUGAGAUGUUGGGUUAAGUCCCGCAACGAGCGCAACCCUCGUUCUAUGUUGCCAGCACGUCAUGGUGGGAACUCAUAGGAGACUGCCGGGGUCAACUCGGAGGAAGGUGGGGAUGACGUCAAAUCAUCAUGCCCCUUAUGUCUUGGGCUUCACGCAUGCUACAAUGGCCGGUACAAAGGGCUGCGAUACCGUAAGGUGGAGCGAAUCCCAAAAAGCCGGUCUCAGUUCGGAUUGAGGUCUGCAACUCGACCUCAUGAAGUCGGAGUCGCUAGUAAUCGCAGAUCAGCAACGCUGCGGUGAAUACGUUCCCGGGCCU
Molecule: ribosomal RNA, 1344 nt
Filed under: uncultured bacterium
Lineage: Bacteria
Description: bacterial SSU rRNA
Rfam family: Bacterial small subunit ribosomal RNA
Source: RNAcentral